UUUCCAGAACUUUUUCAUCAUCCCAAGUAGAAACUAUCUGUACCCAUUAAAAACUCCCCAUUCAACCCUUUCCCCAGCACCUGGUAACCGCUAUUCUGCUUUCUAUUUGCCUAUUCCUCAUAUAAGUAGAAUCAUAUAAUAUUUGUCCUUUUGUGUUUGUUUUUUUCCACUUACCAUAAUGUCAUCAAGGUUCAUCUAUAUUGUUGCAUACGUCAAAAUGUCCUUUUUAAGGCUGAAUAGUAUUC
Molecule: long non-coding RNA, 245 nt
Filed under: Homo sapiens (human)
Lineage: Eukaryota; Metazoa; Chordata; Mammalia; Primates; Hominidae
Description: non-protein coding lnc-OTX1-6:1
Source: RNAcentral